RNAcentral lists this ribosomal RNA (465 nucleotides) under uncultured bacterium. RNAcentral's name for it is "partial 16S ribosomal RNA". It matches the Rfam family "Bacterial small subunit ribosomal RNA", at positions 338 to 795 of the family's 1533-position model. The record is from RNAcentral.
CCUACGGGGGGCAGCAGUAGGGAAUCUUCCACAAUGGGCGAAAGCCUGAUGGAGCAACGCCGCGUGGGUGAAGAAGGUCCUCGGAUCGUAAAACCCUGUUGUUAGAGAAGAAAGUGCGUGAGAGUAACUGUUCACGUUUCGACGGUAUCUAACAAGAAAGCCACGGCUAACUACGUGCGAGCAGCCGCGGUAAUACGUCGGUGGCAAGCGUUAUCCGGAUUUAUUGGGAGUAAAGGGAGCGGAGGCGGUCUGUUAAGUCUGAUGUGAAAGCCUUCGGCUUAACCGGAGUAGUGCAUUGGAAACUGGGAGACUUGAGUGCAGUAGAGGUGGGUGGAAUUCCAGGUGUAGCGGUGAAAUGCGUAGAUAUAUGGAAGAACACCAGUUGCGAAGGCAGCUCUCUGGACUGUAACUGACGCUGAGGUUCGAAAGCGUGGGUAGCAAACAGGAUUAGAUACCCGGGUAGUC